AAAGCAGUAGCUCAAUGGAUAGAGCAUCAGAUAUUGGUUUCGCAAUUACCGGCGAGCGGUCAAACAAAACCUACUUCUCAUGGGACCUGAGGGUUGCUGGUUCGAGCCCAGCCUGCUUUU
This 120-nucleotide transfer RNA is filed under the name Chitinophaga horti. RNAcentral describes it as "Chitinophaga sp. R8 tRNA-OTHER". It matches the Rfam family "tRNA". Rfam says of the family: Transfer RNA (tRNA) molecules are approximately 80 nucleotides in length. Their secondary structure includes four short double-helical elements and three loops (D, anti-codon, and T loops). Lineage: Bacteria; Pseudomonadati; Bacteroidota; Chitinophagia; Chitinophagales; Chitinophagaceae. The record is from RNAcentral.